GAUGAACGCUGGCGGCGUGCUUAACACAUGCAAGUCGAACGAUUAAACUGGCUUCGGCCAGAUAUAGAGUGGCGAACGGGUGAGUAACACGUGACCAACCUGCCCCGCGCUCCGGGACAACCGCUGGAAACGGCGGCUAAUACCGGAUGCUCCGGGGAGGCUCCAUGGCCUCCCCGGGAAAGCCUUAACGGCGCGGGAUGGGGUCGCGGCCCAUUAGGUAGACGGCGGGGUAACGGCCCACCGUGCCCGCGAUGGGUAGCCGGACUGAGAGGUCGACCGGCCACAUUGGGACUGAGAUACGGCCCAGACUCCUACGGGAGGCAGCAGUGGGGAAUUUUGCGCAAUGGGGGCAACCCUGACGCAGCAACGCCGCGUGCGGGACGAAGGCCUUCGGGUUGUAAACCGCU
RNAcentral lists this ribosomal RNA (407 nucleotides) under uncultured bacterium. Its description in RNAcentral is "bacterial SSU rRNA". It matches the Rfam family "Bacterial small subunit ribosomal RNA", at positions 28 to 434 of the family's 1533-position model. The record is from RNAcentral.